AUGGGCGCAAGCCUGAUCCAGCCAUGCCGCGUGUGUGAAGAAGGCCUUCGGGUUGUAAAGCACUUUCAGCGAGGAGGAAGGGUGUUGUGUUAAUAGCACAGUAUUUUGACGUUACUCGCAGAAGAAGCACCGGCUAACUCCGUGCCAGCAGCCGCGGUAAUACGGAGGGUGCAAGCGUUAAUCGGAAUUACUGGGCGUAAAGCGCACGCAGGCGGCUUGUUAAGUCGGAUGUGAAAGCCCCGGGCUCAACCUGGGAAUUGCAUUCGAUACUGGCAAGCUAGAGUAUGUGAGAGGGGGGUAGAAUUCCAAGUGUAGCGGUGAAAUGCGUAGAGAUUUGGAGGAAUACCAGUGGCGAAGGCGGCCCCCUGGCACACUACUGACGCUCAGGUGCGAAAGCGUGGGGAGCAAACAGGAUUAGAUACCC
Molecule: ribosomal RNA, 424 nt
Filed under: Rheinheimera sp. 1002F
Lineage: Bacteria; Pseudomonadati; Pseudomonadota; Gammaproteobacteria; Chromatiales; Chromatiaceae
Description: bacterial SSU rRNA
Rfam family: Bacterial small subunit ribosomal RNA
Source: RNAcentral